This 646-nucleotide long non-coding RNA is filed under the name Nicotiana benthamiana. RNAcentral's name for it is "long non-coding RNA (NBEN_LNC008636)". Lineage: Eukaryota; Viridiplantae; Streptophyta; Magnoliopsida; Solanales; Solanaceae. The record is from RNAcentral.
GUAUAUGGUAGUACUUUUCUAGUAAUUUUGUUGUUUCUUUUCCUUUACGUUUCUACACUAGAAUGUUGGACAUUUGGACAAGUUUGGGUUUCUGAUGUGAUGAGCUUCAUGUUUUGGAUUGAAUAAAAGUAAUUAAGCUAUACAAUGCUCUUAAAUAAUCUUGUAUCCAUACCUUGUUCCUAAAAAUUAUAAUUGAAUAAAAGCGGGUAAAAAAGCUAAAAUUUCACUAUAGGUUUGAAACAUGUAUUAAAUCAAAUAAUAGGCCAAUUGUAAUAGAUUAAGUGAUCGUGCUAGAACCAAACAAUCUGGGAGUGCCUAACAUCUUCCAUAGGGUUAACGGAAUAUUUUAUUCAGUAUUUCUGUUUCAUAGAUUUCUAAAGAAAAAUCAAAAUCUUCCUCGAUUAGGGAUUUAAAAAUGUAUCGAUGACUUGGGACAUCAAAUAAAAUAUCCCAAGCGGCGACUCAAAUAUGUAUAAAUAAUCCCAUUUCGAAUAAUGUCACUUAAAUUUGAAAAACUCCAUUAUACAUUAUCCUCUUCGGAGUGGUGUCUAAAAAGGGAGGUGUGACAGCUCUGGCAACUCUAGUGGGGACACAGAACCCAGAACAUCGGUUCAGGAUUCAAGAAUUGAGCUUAGAAUAGCUGUUA